Molecule: long non-coding RNA, 1256 nt
Filed under: Numida meleagris (helmeted guineafowl)
Lineage: Eukaryota; Metazoa; Chordata; Aves; Galliformes; Numididae
Description: lncRNA (ENSNMEG00000000613.1)
Source: RNAcentral
UAACCUUUUAAUGUUUCAUUUUUGAGCAGAGAUUUUCAGUUGCACUUAUUUUAGUCUGUUUGCUAACAGUGGUUUGAAGUGAUCAGUUUCUGUCAUGUUUCUGGACAGGCUGACUCAGCUGCUUCAGUGGAGAGUAAGCAAUUUAAGGAAGGAAGGAAGACCGUCCACUCUGUCUCCGUCUGUGCAUCUGAAGAUCCAGAGCAGACUCUGCAGUUAUUUGCUGAUGCUCUAUGAGGCAUCUCAUUUUGUGUGCUGAACCGCAUCGAGCACUGGAGCCACUUUCCCAAUGACAGAAACACUCUGUUCUGCUGGCCAGCACUGCCUGUGCACAUGGAGACUUGAAGUACCCUGCAGGACACAGCCCUAAAGGCAUCAGGAAAAAAGACUGAGGCGUGUGUGCUAGGACAGUGGUGCCAAAUUUCUUCCCUGUGGCAUGCCCAGGCUAAAGCCUAACCCUCGGCUCCUCAGUGCUUGCUGCUUAGCAGCAGGGGCAGGAGACAAGGGGACAGUCUGCUGUAGUCAGAAAAAUCAGCUCAGCUGUGAACCUAAUCAAGCAGCCAGGCAGUAACUGAGACAAGAUUUUGUCCCCCUUUGUACCACGCAGGAGUCUGCACAGGAAAACCUUCACUGCCUGGAAUCAGCCAGAUAUGGGUGGGACUUCAGUGGAGGUAAUGCUUUUCCAGAAGAAUGAUAAUGGCUCCACAGUACACUGUUCUUGUAUCAUAGCCUUCCCAAAAAUGCCACUGGGAAGCCAGUUUUCAAAUAGAAAGCCCCACUGUCCACCUCCAGUUUAGAGAACCUCAGAGAUAUGAGCUGGCAGAGAUCCUCUAUAAGCAGCCCUUGUCAAAGCCCCAGCAGGGCAGUGACAGAGCCCACAGCUUGUGGCUUUGCUUUGUAGGUUCAGGAUCCACCCAGUGGGCCUCAACUAUGUUUUAUGUGUGUUCUCAAUUAGCAGCCUACCAAAUGGCUAAGCAAGGACUUUUUGAUCUUCAGCCCAACAAGCUAAUGCAACACCUUUCUUCUUGAAAGUAAAUCAAAUUAAUGUGUGUAAUUUUGGCCACAUGCAGUUUGUAGAACAAAGGAAGUAAUGGGAAACAUCUUUUAACCACCGUAUGUGUUUUAUUCACAUACUUGUGACUACAGCAUAGAAAUUUGUCUUCCUGUUAUCACAUUCAUUUCAUUUCUACUAGACUUAUGUAAACUUGAACUUCUGUGAUACACAGCUCAAUUUCAUUUGAGUUUCAGAGCCAGUGGUU